This is a non-coding RNA of Cinara cedri, 2455 nucleotides long. NCBI's taxonomy places the organism in Eukaryota, Metazoa, Arthropoda, Insecta, Hemiptera, Aphididae. The record is from the annotation of a GenBank genome assembly.
ACAUCGUCGGCGUGGGUGGUUGUGAUCGGCGGUGGGCGGUCGUCUACGUUCUCCCCGUACGCGGUGGAGCUCUGACGCGUUGCCAUCCAGACNCCGCGUAAUGUUCAACAGCUACGUCCGUCCAUUCCGGUUGUAUUUUUUUCUCUGUGACAGUUCGGGUUCUGUUAUACCAGACCAAUUAUUUUUGUGUCGAUAAUGACGCGUACGGACGACGUCCCGGCGGUAAUUUUGCCGUAUUGUCGCUGGCACAACCAACUAGGUAAGUACUAUACACGUGUCUCGUGGUUCGGGGUACCUACUCGACCUGGCCGGCGCGCACGUGGUUUUUAUUUCGUUACAAUAAAAUUAUGCGUUUACGUUAUUGUGCGGACAUUUCGUCCGCACAAUUUUGCGCGUAAUUGUCCGUGGCCCGUCAACGAACGAAGCCCGGCCCCNCGUUACCCGUAUUUCGCCGUCGUGUAAGUUUAGCCAUGUGGCCCGUCGACGUACGGGCUCUGCUCCUGCCCCGGUCAGUGUAGUCGACGAAAUAGCCGUUAAACGACGUACCUAUAUAAUAAUAUUUGUAUUUAAAAAAAAAUAAUAUAGUCUGUGGUAUGUACGAUCACAAGACCACACAGUAGCAUACAAUGUAUCUAAUAUUUGUAUUAAAAAAAGUGUACGGUAACCAUGGUCAUAUGUGGUUACUAAGUGGUGCUAGAAUAUCGGCCGGAUGUUCUGUCUGCGUAAUUCUUAUUAUGCAGUAUUUUAUUUAAAAAAAAAAAAAAAAAAUGUGAACAAUCAAAUUACUAUGUACCUACAUAAUAUUUGUAUUGAAAGAGAAAAUGAAAUAAAAAUCUAUCAUCGGAAAAGCGACAUAUUAAAAUUAUUGAUUUAAAUAAUAUGGUAUUGGAAAGACUAUUCAAAUUAAACGGUCCAAUCAUGGUUAUGUAACCGUAACUUUAUUGGUACAAGGUUUACGGGGUUGACCACGCUGCUCUUACGGUUGUCCUUUUUGACAACACGUUUGCGUAUUAUAUUUUUGAUUUAUUUAUGAUUUCUUUAAAACAAAAGAUUGUACUCGAAUGCGUAUGAAUUCUUAUGUAACAUUGUCAAAUUUAUAUUGUACUUAAUAAUUAUCCAGUAAAAUAAUUUUAUCUGAACUACUAUUUAUAUAAAUAUAUAAACAGUAAAAUCCUUCUUAAAAAUUUAUUUUAAAAUACCUAAAUUUUAAACAUUAGUUAAAUUAUUUUGAUUUUGAAUAAAAAUAAUAUUUUGUUAUUUUCUUUAUUUUCUCGUUAUUAAUUAAUCGUAUAACCUAUAUUGUUUUUUAAUAUUAAACAGUUCUUACUCAUUUUCUUUUGGAUUUUAUAAUUUUAAUAGAUAGCAAGUUAUUACUAAAUGUAGAUAAAAUAUAUGCAUGUGUGACGAACUGAAGGGCAGAAAAUAUCUUUACUUAUAUAUUUGAAAUAACUUAAAUAAAUUUUAAGUGAAGACCAGUUCUUGACAGGACUUGGUUUGUAAUGACAUGAAAUAUUGCAGCCCUAACAGCCUCGCACAUUUAAAAUAUGAAAUGUAUUUCUCCUCGGUACUACUUUUGUAUUUAGCCAAGAUACAAUAUCUGUGUGGUCAUCAGAGCAGUUUGAUCAGUGUCUUAACAUGUUCAGUUGGUAUUNUGGGCCAGAAUUUGCUUUCUUAGUCACAUAAAUGAAUAAAUUAAACACUUGCAUUUUUAAAUAGCUGAACACCAAGAUCCCCAACUACCUCAACAAACCAUAAUCUUCAUUAGACGGAUCCAAUUUACUUUUGUUCAUCGCUAUUGGCCGCACCCAUAUUACCAGUAGUCUCCUGGAUGCAAGAAGAAUUCUUCAAUAACAACCAUGAGAUGGGCGGAACGUGAUCGCGUCGAAGCAAAAGUAUUUAUUAAUAAUUAUUUUUAUUUUGUAAAGCAAUAGUUAUAAGCUUGGUUUAAGUUUUAUAAGUACCGCUUAAAUUUCUAUGAUGAUUGCCUAACUAAGACUGUCAUUAUAAUAAUUUCCAACGGAGAAAGAGUGUUCUCUCCAUCGUUGACUUAGAAUUUUUGAUCGAAACUGUUCAGUUGAAUAACAAUUUCUUCAGGUUUUUUCUAUGUACUGUCUAAAAAAUAAAAAAAUAGUUUUUUUUGGGUGUAAAGGUUUUAUUAGUCUAACGCUAAUAAUAGAAUAGAAUAAUACUUAAAGGCUAGAUUAAUGGUUGAAAUCUAUGUGCUCUAUACAAGCUUGUUUAAGAAUGGUCAUCAUAACUUUAGAAAUGAUUAUGAAGUGUACUUACAAAAAUCCCAAAUUUUUUCUGGAAUCAAAUUAAAUUUAAGAUUAUUAAUUAAUAUUGUGUUUAUAAAUUGAAAAAAAAUAUCUUCACACUCCCAUCCCUUUCGUCGUGAUUUGAAGAUUGUGUUAAGGAUAAUUCAAAUUGUACUCAUUUUUGGAAACUGAGAUUAUAA